This 243-nucleotide transfer RNA is filed under the name Sporothrix schenckii 1099-18. Its description in RNAcentral is "tRNA-Leu". Lineage: Eukaryota; Fungi; Ascomycota; Sordariomycetes; Ophiostomatales; Ophiostomataceae. The record is from RNAcentral.
AAAAAUAUAGUAUAUUAAUAUAUAUAUAUUAAGAUAAGUGUUCAAGUCACUUAAAGGGAACCUUUAAGAUUUUAAUUUAAACUUAAAAUGAUGGUUUUAUUAUUAUAAAUAUAUCAUAUAAUAAUUAAUGAUGUUAUUAAUGUAUAUUUAAUGUUAUUCUUUAAUUCUAUAUAUUAUAAAAAUAAUAUUUAUUUUAUAAAAAUAUAGAAAAAUUUUAUUUUAGAUAAAAUAUGAAUUUAUUUU